Long non-coding RNA from Gallus gallus (chicken), 301 nucleotides. The record is from Ensembl. Lineage: Eukaryota; Metazoa; Chordata; Aves; Galliformes; Phasianidae.
GAAGAGAUAGAAGGAGAAAAUCUCACUGUAGGGAUAGUCAGUUCUUGACUGUAGGAAAGGAACAGGAUGCUUGUGAACGGUGUUCUGAGAAAAAGUGGAGAAGCUGGAAUAACCCAGGCUAUGGUCAAGGCUCUUGAAACUGCUUUCCAGAAGGGUUCCAGGGAUCACUGUAUCUGAGAAGCUGAUCGUUGCCGCUAGGAGUACUUAACUAGAACUUGCUUGCUCUGUAGGCUUUCCUGAGUUUGGAACUUGAGACAUUAAAGGGGGGAGGACAGCGACUGAAAGUCCUCCAGGACCAGAC